This is a long non-coding RNA of Myxocyprinus asiaticus (Chinese sucker), 586 nucleotides long. RefSeq lists it as uncharacterized. The transcript is spliced from 3 exons. Lineage: Eukaryota; Metazoa; Chordata; Actinopteri; Cypriniformes; Catostomidae. The record is from RefSeq and is a predicted model, not a curated record.
UGGACAAACACAUAAAUGUAAGACAUCAUUAGAGAUCGGUGCAAAUGGUAAACGCCCCCAACAGUGCCUUAAAAAGCAUCAAGUUUAUUCACUUUCUGCGCGUUUGAAGAUGGCACGCUACACAGGUGAGGAAGCUCCUGGAUAGUGAUGAAGAGUUCGUUUUCCUCAGAAGAAGAGUGGGAAUCCGAUGAUAAAUGUUUGCAUUUUGAAGAGCAACUUGAUCCAGCCGAGGAUACAAUUUUGGAUGAAUGAACAUGGAACCUUCAUGCAUUUGGAAAUUGCUCCCAAGGAUGAACCAGACUUGUGGAGGUCCCAAAAUUUUUUUCUGAGGUCUUUCUUUUGAUUUUCCCAUGAUGUCAAGCAAAGAGGCACGGAGUUUGAAGCAGAUGCCAAUGAGUCUGAUCCAUGUCCUGCAUUCUUAGUGCCGUCUGUACCAAACUGGGCUCUGAGACUGUGAGCUGCAUCUUUUCGAGCAACACCAGAAUCAGUGGGCCCAAGAACUUUUCUCCAGACUGAUACCGCUUCAUCUCCCAUCAGCUCCAUAGCAAUCACUGGACCAGAGCUCACAAACUGCACCAGAUUACUG